This 275-nucleotide ribosomal RNA is filed under the name uncultured bacterium. RNAcentral's name for it is "partial 16S ribosomal RNA". It matches the Rfam family "Bacterial small subunit ribosomal RNA", at positions 399 to 691 of the family's 1533-position model. The record is from RNAcentral.
GCGUGAGUGAAGAAGGCCUUAGGGUUGUAAAGCUCUUUCAGAUGGGAAGAUAAUGACGGUACCAUCAGAAGAAGCCCCGGCUAACUCCGUGCCAGCAGCCGCGGUAAUACGGAGGGGGCUAGCGUUAUUCGGAAUUACUGGGCGUAAAGCGCGCGUAGGCGGUUUUCCAAGUUGGGGGUGAAAUCCCGGGGCUCAACUCCGGAACUGCCCUCAAAACUGGAUGACUAGAGGUCGAGAGAGGUAAGGGGAAUUCCUAGUGUAGAGGUGAAAUUCGU